UGCAAGGCCCCAGUUGUACCUAAAAGAAGCAAAAGAAGAAGGUGGUGGGAGUUGGGUGUGAGGUUGUGACAGCAACGCUACAGUUCCAAGGCCUCUUGGAAGGCAGCCAGGUUGAAUCCAGGAAAAAAAGAAAGACUACUGAGAAGGGUGGAAUGCCUUAGCAAAACCCUUGCUGGAAAAAACCAAAAAGAAUCUUUAGAAUGAAAACACAGGUGCUCACAGCAUGCAAAGAAAAGACUGAUCACUACAGAGUGAGGGAACCAGCCUGCCAUAAAGAAAUAAAGUUUCCUGUGAAAUAACACAAUACGUCAGCUCUUAAAAGAGAA
Erinaceus europaeus (western European hedgehog) is the source of this 326-nucleotide long non-coding RNA. RefSeq lists it as uncharacterized. Lineage: Eukaryota; Metazoa; Chordata; Mammalia; Eulipotyphla; Erinaceidae. The record is from RefSeq and is a predicted model, not a curated record. The transcript has 3 exons.